Molecule: ribosomal RNA, 253 nt
Filed under: uncultured bacterium
Lineage: Bacteria
Description: partial 16S ribosomal RNA
Rfam family: Bacterial small subunit ribosomal RNA
Source: RNAcentral
UACGUAGGGUGCGAGCGUUAAUCGGAAUUACUGGGCGUAAAGCGUGCGUAGACGGUUAUUUAAGUCGGAUGUGAAAUCCCCGGGCUCAACCUGGGAAUUGCAUUCGAGACUGGAUAGCUAGGGUGCGGAAGAGGGAAGCGGAAUUUCCGGUGUAGCAGUGAAAUGCGUAGAUAUCGGAAGGAACAUCAGUGGCGAAGGCGGCUUCCUGGUCCAGCACCGACGUUCAGGCACGAAAGCGUGGGGAGCAAACAGG